Molecule: ribosomal RNA, 429 nt
Filed under: uncultured bacterium
Lineage: Bacteria
Description: bacterial SSU rRNA
Rfam family: Bacterial small subunit ribosomal RNA
Source: RNAcentral
GGGCCCGCACAAGCGGUGGAGCAUGUGGUUUAAUUCGAUGAUACGCGAGGAACCUUACCAGGGCUUAAAUGCAGAACGACAGAGGUGGAAACACCUCCUUCUUCGGACGGUCUGCAAGGUGCUGCAUGGUUGUCGUCAGCUCGUGCUGUGAAGUGUCGGGUUAAGUCCCAUAACGAGCGCAACCCCUAUUUCUAGUUGCCAGCGGUUCGGCCGGGGACUCUAGAGAAACUGCCAGCGUAAGCUGUGAGGAAGGUGGGGAUGACGUCAAAUCAUCACGGCCCUUACGUCCUGGGCUACACACGUGCUACAAUGGUAGGGACAGAGAGUUGCCAACCCGCGAGGGUGAGCUAAUCUUCAAAACCGAUCUCAGUUCGGAUCGCAGUCUGCAACUCGACUGCGUGAAGCUGGAAUCGCUAGUAAUCGGAUAUC